CCUACGGGGGGCAGCAGUGGGGAAUAUUGGACAAUGGGGGCAACCCUGAUCCAGCCAUGCCGCGUGUGUGAAGAAGGCCCUCGGGUUGUAAAGCACUUUCAGUGAGGAAGAACGCCUGGUGGUUAAUACCCAUCAGGAAAGACAUCACCCACAGAAGAAGCGCCGGCUAACUCCGUGCCAGCAGCCGCGGUAAUACGGAGGGUGCGAGCGUUAAUCGGAAUUACUGGGCGUAAAGCGCGCGUAGGUGGCUUGAUAAGCCGGUUGUGAAAGCCCCGGGCUCAACCUGGGAACGGCAUCCGGAACUGUCAAGCUAGAGUGCAGGAGAGGAAGGUAGAAUUCCCGGUGUAGCGGUGAAAUGCGUAGAGAUCGGGAGGAAUACCAGUGGCGAAGGCGGCCUUCUGGACUGACACUGACACUGAGGUGCGAAAGCGUGGGUAGCAAACAGGAUUAGAUACCCGUGUAGUC
This 465-nucleotide ribosomal RNA is filed under the name Vreelandella stevensii. RNAcentral's name for it is "partial 16S ribosomal RNA". It matches the Rfam family "Bacterial small subunit ribosomal RNA", at positions 338 to 795 of the family's 1533-position model. Lineage: Bacteria; Pseudomonadati; Pseudomonadota; Gammaproteobacteria; Oceanospirillales; Halomonadaceae. The record is from RNAcentral.